RNAcentral lists this ribosomal RNA (492 nucleotides) under Cardiodactylus pelagus. RNAcentral's name for it is "LSU rRNA". The record is from RNAcentral. Lineage: Eukaryota; Metazoa; Arthropoda; Insecta; Orthoptera; Gryllidae.
CUUCUUGAAUUAAUUGGGAGUCGGGUCUGUCCACUGAUAAUUAUUUGAAGGGCCGCGGUAUAUUGACCGUGCAAAGGUAGCAUAAUCAUUAGUUUUUUAAUUGGGAACUGGAAUGAAUGGUUUGACGAGAUGAUUAAUGUCUCUGAUAUAAUUAAUUGAAUUUUACUUUUGAGUUAAAAGGCUUAAAUAUUAAUGAGGGACGAUAAGACCCUAUAGAUCUUUAUAAUAUCUUAUAUAUUAUUGUUUUGGUUGUUAUAUUAUAAAUUUUAUUAAUUUUAUUAUUUUGUUGGGGUGAUGUGAGAAUAUAAAAACUUCUUAAUUUUUAACUUUGAUUAUUGAAUUUAAGAUCCUAUAUUAUGGAAUAAAGAUUAAGAUACCUUAGGGAUAACAGCGUAAUUUUAUUGGAAAGUUCUUAUUGAUAAUGGAGAUUGCGACCUCGAUGUUGGAUUAAGAAAAUAUAUUGAUGUAGGUGUUAAUAUUAUUGGUCUGUUC